AGAACGAACGCUGGCGGCAGGCUUAACACAUGCAAGUCGAACGCCCCGCAAGGGGAGUGGCAGACGGGUGAGUAACGCGUGGGAAUCUACCCAGUUCUACGGAAUAACACAGGGAAACUUGUGCUAAUACCGUAUACGCCCUACGGGGGAAAGAUUUAUCGGGAUUGGAUGAGCCCGCGUUGGAUUAGCUAGUUGGUGGGGUAAUGGCCUACCAAGGCGACGAUCCAUAGCUGGUCUGAGAGGAUGAUCAGCCACACUGGGACUGAGACACGGCCCAGACUCCUACGGGAGGCAGCAGUAGGGAAUCUUGCGCAAUGCGCGAAAGCGUGACGCAGCAACGCCGCGUGGGGGAAGAAGGCCCUCGGGUUGUAAACCCCUUUCAGUUGGGACGAAGCUUCGUCGGUUAAUAGCCGACUGGAGUGACGGUACCUUCACAAGAAGCACCGGCUAACUCGUGCCAGCAGCCGC
RNAcentral lists this ribosomal RNA (468 nucleotides) under uncultured bacterium. RNAcentral's name for it is "SSU rRNA". It matches the Rfam family "Bacterial small subunit ribosomal RNA", at positions 26 to 518 of the family's 1533-position model. The record is from RNAcentral.